This is a long non-coding RNA of Triplophysa rosa, 583 nucleotides long. RefSeq lists it as uncharacterized. The transcript is spliced from 3 exons. The record is from RefSeq and is a predicted model, not a curated record. NCBI's taxonomy places the organism in Eukaryota, Metazoa, Chordata, Actinopteri, Cypriniformes, Nemacheilidae.
CAUUGAUUGCAGUUCACACAUAAUCGCUGUACACGAAAAGGACCAGACCACUAAAAACUGCUACCAAGAAUUAGGUAUCAGUGUCUCUUUCAGGAUACUGAACAAAAGAGUCGGUGCAAAGAAAACGAAUUAAUUUCAGGCAAAAGGAAAUCACUGAAAAUGGGCGGUGGUAGUAGUAACGAGAGUGCAAGAGCUGAGCAGGCUGAGCAAGAAUGCUACCGGGCUGACCAGGCACGCCAUCGAGCUGAGGAAGAACGCAAUCAGGCCGAGCAGGCACGACAACAAAUCCAGGAACAACUUUAUAGUUUACGACAAGAGAGAGAGCUAGCGAGAAUGAGAGAAGAAGAAAAGAGGAGAGUGACUGAAGCGAAUAGGUCUAGAGAACAACAAGAAAAGAACAGAAUUCAAAAUAGUCAUUAAUUAAUAUUACUACUACUAAUAUUACUAAUACUAAAAUCAUUUUUAUGAAUGAUCAAAACUUGGUUUAUGAAUUAGAAAUAUCACAUGGCACAGUUAAUAAUAUGCAAUGGAAAAUGAAUUAUUGAGAAACUUUACAAAUAAAGCCAACAUCAUGUCUUAAAAA